GUGGGGAAUUUUGGACAAUGGGCGCAAGCCUGAUCCAGCAAUGCCGCGUGCAGGAAGAAGGCCUUCGGGUUGUAAACUGCUUUUGUACGGAACGAAACGGUCCUGGUUAAUACCUGGGGCUAAUGACGGUACCGUAAGAAUAAGCACCGGCUAACUACGUGCCAGCAGCCGCGGUAAUACGUAGGGUGCGAGCGUUAAUCGGAAUUACUGGGCGUAAAGCGUGCGCAGGCGGUGCUGUAAGACAGGCGUGAAAUCCCCGGGCUCAACCUGGGAAUUGCGCUUGUGACUGCAGUGCUGGAGUACGGCAGAGGGGGAUGGAAUUCCGCGUGUAGCAGUGAAAUGCGUAGAUAUGCGGAGGAACACCGAUGGCGAAGGCAGUCCCCUGGGCCUGUACUGACGCUCAUGCACGAAAGCGUGGGGAGCAAACAGGAUUAGAAACCCCGGUAGUCC
Molecule: ribosomal RNA, 450 nt
Filed under: uncultured bacterium
Lineage: Bacteria
Description: bacterial SSU rRNA
Rfam family: Bacterial small subunit ribosomal RNA
Source: RNAcentral